CAGUUCGGAUCGGAGUCUGNAACCCGACUCCGUGAAGCUGGAUUCGCUAGUAAUCGCGCAUCAGCCAUGGCGCGGUGAAUACGUUCCCGGGCCUUGUACACACCGCCCGUCAAGCCAUGGGAGCCGGGGGUGCUUGAAGUGCGUCGCCGCAAGGCGCGCCCUAGAGCAAAACCGGUGACUGGGGCUAAGUCGUAACAAGGUACC
RNAcentral lists this ribosomal RNA (204 nucleotides) under uncultured bacterium. RNAcentral's name for it is "partial 16S ribosomal RNA". It matches the Rfam family "Bacterial small subunit ribosomal RNA", at positions 1289 to 1500 of the family's 1533-position model. The record is from RNAcentral.